AGAGUUUGAUCCUGGCUCAGAUUGAACGCUGGCGGCAGGCCUAACACAUGCAAGUCGAGCGGUAGAGAGGUGCUUGCACCUCUUGAGAGCGGCGGACGGGUGAGUAAAGCCUAGGAAUCUGCCUGGUAGUGGGGGAUAACGCUCGGAAACGGACGCUAAUACCGCAUACGUCCUACGGGAGAAAGCAGGGGACCUUCGGGCCUUGCGCUAUCAGAUGAGCCUAGGUCGGAUUAGCUAGUUGGUGAGGUAAUGGCUCACCAAGGCGACGAUCCGUAACUGGUCUGAGAGGAUGAUCAGUCACACUGGAACUGAGACACGGUCCAGACUCCUACGGGAGGCAGCAGUGGGGAAUAUUGGACAAUGGGCGAAAGCCUGAUCCAGCCAUGCCGCGUGUGUGAAGAAGGUCUUCGGAUUGUAAAGCACUUUAAGUUGGGAGGAAGGGCAUUAACCUAAUACGUUAGUGUUUUGACGUUACCGACAGAAUAAGCACCGGCUAACUCUGUGCCAGCAGCCGCGGUAAUACAGAGGGUGCAAGCGUUAAUCGGAAUUACUGGGCGUAAAGCGCGCGUAGGUGGUUCGUUAAGUUGGAUGUGAAAUCCCCGGGCUCAACCUGGGAACUGCAUUCAAAACUGUCGAGCUAGAGUAUGGUAGAGGGUGGUGGAAUUUCCUGUGUAGCGGUGAAAUGCGUAGAUAUAGGAAGGAACACCAGUGGCGAAGGCGACCACCUGGACUGAUACUGACACUGAGGUGCGAAAGCGUGGGGAGCAAACAGGAUUAGAUACCCUGGUAGUCCACGCCGUAAACGAUGUCAACUAGCCGUUGGGAGCCUUGAGCUCUUAGUGGCGCAGCUAACGCAUUAAGUUGACCGCCUGGGGAGUACGGCCGCAAGGUUAAAACUCAAAUGAAUUGACGGGGGCCCGCACAAGCGGUGGAACAUGUGGUUUAAUUCGAAGCAACGCGAAGAACCUUACCAGGCCUUGACAUCCAAUGAACUUUCCAGAGAUGGAUUGGUGCCUUCGGGAACAUUGAGACAGGUGCUGCAUGGCUGUCGUCAGCUCGUG
RNAcentral lists this ribosomal RNA (1061 nucleotides) under uncultured Pseudomonas sp. RNAcentral describes it as "bacterial SSU rRNA". It matches the Rfam family "Bacterial small subunit ribosomal RNA", at positions 8 to 1064 of the family's 1533-position model. The record is from RNAcentral. Lineage: Bacteria; Pseudomonadati; Pseudomonadota; Gammaproteobacteria; Pseudomonadales; Pseudomonadaceae.